RNAcentral lists this transfer RNA (93 nucleotides) under Hypsizygus marmoreus. It matches the Rfam family "tRNA". From Rfam's summary of the family: Transfer RNA (tRNA) molecules are approximately 80 nucleotides in length. Lineage: Eukaryota; Fungi; Basidiomycota; Agaricomycetes; Agaricales; Lyophyllaceae. The record is from Rfam by way of RNAcentral.
GGCAACAUGGCCGAGUGGUCUAAGGCGCUGGAAUUAGGUUAUCUACCAAAAAUCCAGUCCGAAAGGGCGGGAGUUCGAACCUCCCUGUUGUCA